Equus caballus (horse) is the source of this 19544-nucleotide non-coding RNA. NCBI's taxonomy places the organism in Eukaryota, Metazoa, Chordata, Mammalia, Perissodactyla, Equidae. The record is from RefSeq and is a predicted model, not a curated record.
GGGGUUGAUUAGGUGGGACGGUAAUAUUUGCUGUGCCCUGUGCAUCCUGCUGUGGGAUUGAUGCAGCGAAACAGUCAGUUCCAUCUUUCCCAGGUUGUCGUCCAGAAGGCCUUGGAUAUCAUAUUCAGACAGGCCUGUGAGGAAACCGAGGCUCAAAGAGAUGGAGUAUCUUGCACAAGGUCACAGCUAGUGAAUGACAGAGCUGCGGUUUGAACCUGGGCCGGGCUGACUCAGGCUCUGCAGCCUCUUUUUUCCUGAGGAUGUGAAUGCUCCACAUUGAAGACAGGCACCCCCGGGACCCGGAGUCCCACUGGGGUUUCAGUUGCCUGGUAGGAUCAGGACAGGGAAGCUCAGAGAGCUCCGUCCUUUAUACUUGGCUUUCUUUAUGAGUUGUGAAGCUAAAGGUUACUCUGUUAAUUAAAUGGGGGAAGAUAGGGGCUGUUGGAGGAUCGGUGGCAAAAAGACUCCAAUUAAACCUUUAAUGAGUGUAUUAAGCCAUGUAAAUCACACGCCUUUUUUUCCCCUUUGGGAACCUCCAGUUCCCUCGGCGAGCAAAUUGUCGGCGCACCCCACAUCGGCUGGGGCCUCCAGGAAGCGAGGAAGAUGGUGGGUUGAUUCUGCGAGUGCAAAAAGCUGAAUGAUGCCUGCGGGGUUUAAAAAGAGAAAGUAAGGAAGAGUCCCCUCUUCAAGUGCUAGUGUUUUACCAAACGUGACUUCCGGAUUCAACAAGGAGACUAACGGAGGCCUUGCCUUUCCUGAUCUUUCACUAACAGGCUUUGGUUUUCUCUGAAACUUUGAAGGGCUCCCAUCACCCCUAAGCUCUCAGCUGUGUUCUGGGUGGUCUGGAAGCUCUCCCUGUUUCCCCAACACCUGGGUUUAAAUAGCCCUGGGCUGCCUAGAGGGUCUUGGCAGGUUGAAAGGGGAAGAAGUGAUGGUGUUCAGGGCUCCUCAUCUGUAAAUGGGAUGGUGGAGGCCAGGAGCCCUGUGGGUCCGAGACUCUGAUCUAUGUGACCAUUCAUUCGUUCAUUCAGCAAGUCUUCACAGAGCUCCUAUCAUGCUCCCGGCUCCACGCCCCACAAUUUACCUUUGCUGUUUAGUUUGCUCAAACGCCCUUGGAGGUGGAUGUCAUUACCCCACCCCCAUUCUAAAGACGAAGAAACUGAGACUCAGAGAGGGUAGUUACUUACUCAAAGUCACACACAUAAUCUGUUGCAGAGCUGGAAUUUGAACCCAAGUCUAGUUGACUCUGAAGCUUGGGAUCUUCUUCGACCUGGAGUUCGAGAGAAACGACUGAACAUUCUAGGCUGGGCCGGGGCUCAGGAUUCAGUGGGGAGGGGUGUGAGCCCUGGGGCCGGGCUGGGGGCAGAAGCUUCUCUGGCAGACUCUCCAGAGCUGCUGGGCACAGGAGACCGGCCCCACAAAGAGUGCCCAGGAGGUCCACAGCACCUCUGUGCUCCAGCAUCCUCUGUGGGGCUGCUUCUCUACCUCCCCACCCAUCUCCUGCCCGGUCAGGGGGUGCAGACAGAAGGGGCACCGUCCUGAGUGCAGGGACCUUCCCAGAGCUACGGAACAGUCAGGGGCGGCCUUGGCUACAUCGUAAAGGUGGCAAAUGUUGUCUCAGACAAUUCCUGCACCCCCUCAUCUGGGCCCUUUCCUCCCUUUCAUCUGCUCAUAUGCAACCUCAUCCUAACUCUCUGCUGGUCGCUGUCGGAUCUCUGCCUGAUUUAUGCAUUCAAGGCAUGCUUAAAUAAGGCUAAGUGUGCUGGGCACUGUUCUCUAAGCACUUUACCAACGCUAAUUGGUUUAAUCUCUGUAACAACUCCGCUAGGUAGAUAUUCUUAUCCCUGCUUUACGAGUAAGGAAGCUGAGGCCUGGAGAGGCUCACUCACUUCUCCACGGCCACCCAGUGAGGACGCGGCUAAGCUGGGAUUUGAACCCGGAGGAUCUGGCUCCAGCCUCUGUACUCCUGACCACCACCUUGUGCUGAUGUUUCUGGUAACUCCCUGGUGGGGUAUUUUCAUUUCAAAGAAAAGUAAAAAAAAAAAACCACUUUCAGACAUAAAUAGUGAAGGUUUGAUGGGGGGACUGCCAUGCAGUAGGGUUGACGUUUCGGGGCGCAGGCUCCAUGUGCCAUUCUUCACAGCGUACUUUGGACAGGGUGGGGAGAGCAGACCUCACUUAGGGCCAGGCUUCCUUGAGACAAGAAGGGCUCUUUCCUUUAAUUCAUCAUAAAACAGACAUUUCCUGAGCACCUAGUGUAUACUAGGCACUGUGCUGGGGGGUGAGGACUUAAGCGGAGAGAACUCUUCACUUAGGAGUGAGUUAAGAGAGUGUGGGGGACAGAGAAUGGGACACGGUGUGAUGAGGGUUGGGGUGGGGGGUCAGCAGAGCUUGUGGAUAAGAGAACCAGCUUUGGCACCCUUCUUACCUGGGUUCAAUCUAGCUCCACCGUGGACCAACUGAGCCUGAGUUUCCUCAUCUGUAUAGUUGAGAAUGGCAUUAUUUUGUUAUUUAGCUCUCAGUUUUCUUUUAAACCUGGCCCAGCUCUCAGUAAAUGAGAGUUGAAAUGGUGCUGCUGCUGCUGAAAGGCAUGGAUGCUGAUGGAACGUUAUGAUUUUCCAAAGAGAGGAGAGAGUGGAAGGCCAGAUUUCUAGACAGGAGUGGGUAUUCUUAAGUGCCAUGGCAAAGGGUGAGACGAGGUGCCUUAGCACUGGCAAACUCCAUUUAGUAGUUGUCCCAGGAGGCCAUAAAUGUCCAGUUGGCUAGUCCUAAAUUCCCCCUACAUAACUGAGGUGAAUUCCACCUGUCCAAAGAGGACCUGGCUGUCCUCCUUGUCACCUGCCAUAGUCAGAGUCAUAGCUCACUCUUUUGUUGAGGGCUGUUGGUCUUUUGCACUAAAUUGCUCUUUAGAAACACAAGUCCUCUGUCAUUUGACCAGUUGCCCUUCAUUACCAGACCGACCUCUCUCCAUUCUUCCAGACCCAGGGCGAUGUCUCCUUUCUGGAGAAGCUGUCCCUGCCUGGCUUGAGCAGAGCGAGUCUAGCACAGCAUGUCAUCCCUGCAGCUCUGCAGUAGCGCUAUGAUUGUCAGAGUAUACGUGUAACCCUAAUAAGACUAGGGAAGCACAUGGUCCAGUUUUGGAGCAUUGUUGUAUCCAAAGAUUAACAAUCAAAAUUAAAAUUUAAAAGCAACUAAAUUCAAAUGAAGAAGUAACCAAAGUCCACUAUUUACACAUCCUAGAGACACUAAAGAUGCUCAUCACGAUCUAUCACUAUCCUUGGCAAAAGUCCCUUUUCUCUCCUCUCCAAUGUCUUUACGUCCCACAGCUCCUCUGAACCCCUCUCCGUGCCCCAAAUCCCAACUCUCACUACACAUAACGUGCAAGGGUUUUCUAUCUAUUUCCUCCCUCUGUAUUUUCUCUAUUCCUUUGAUAUGUCUAUGGACUUGGCCCCUCUCCUAGCAAGUAAGAAUCUUUUCUGUUUAAGAGAGGGAAGGGGGAAGACCAAGAUGGCAGUGAGGAGUUUCCUCAGCAGGUGGAGGUAAAUAUAAACGCCAGAACAGUUAAAAGUCAACAAAUUCUGGUCCUGGCACUCACCGUCUCCCCUCCUCCUGAUUGUGAGACCCUCACAGGCCCUGGAGAUUCAUCCCUGUAGCCAGGGUUUCCAGAGGUAAUCGGGGAGGCGAAGGGCAGGCAGGCGUAAACGUUUGUCUGCUUUUGAGCCCCUAUUCUCAAGGCUCUGUUUGAGCUCCGGGAUCAAUGGUUUUGGCAAUGAAGGGAAUCAAGGACACGUGCACAGAACAACGAUGUCAAAUCUUCCUUCAGCUAGUCUGAGGCACCAGGGAGCCGUGUUGGUGGCGCCAGAGGGAACAUUCCCACACCUACUGAAGUCUCCAUCCCGCACCUGGUUCUCUUUCAUUUUCCCCUGGUCAAUUAGCACAGCAGGUCUCAACCUGGGUGUGUAGCAGAGUCACCUGGAGGGCUUGUUCAGGCGCCACCCCCAGAGUUUCUGAUUCAUUAGGGCUGAGUGAGGCCUGGGAAUCUGAAUUUUCCCAAGUUCCCAGAUGCUGCUGCUGUUGCUCUGGGGCACCCUUUGAAAACCACUGCAUUCACAGCAGAAAGUCCUCUGUUCUGGACCCCGCUGUCUACUAAUUUGAACUCCUGAAGCAAUUGAAAGCCACUGGGCUAUAGGACGUCUAAAGGCCCUUCUAGUAACCGGAGUACAUUUUCUACCACAUGCCGUCAAUAAUAUUUCCUCCCCUUUCCCACAAGUCUUUAGGGUCUUUCUCCUUCAUUAUAAGACCCCAGAGACGUGGAGGACCAGGAGCUAUUUUGUAUGUGUGUGGCUGGGGUGUUUUUCUUCUGUCUCCUGUAAAUCUCUUCUGGCUUUCCUCCUUCCCGUUGUGUCCUAUUUAUUAUUUAUCAAGAGGCUCUUAGCUCAAUCCCAAGGUGCCCUGAGAGUGGACUAAAGGGUGGGGAGUGGGGAGACUGUUCCUUUCCAUCUGGGUAAGAAGAGGACCAGAGACGGGACCUAUUCUAGAGCACAGCUAUGCUGCUGGGUCUGCCCUGCUUGGCACGUCCUCAUUUUGUGAAGCAUCUUCACAACUGGGAUCUCAUUUUUUGGUACAGCAUGAGACACGAAGGGCAGGUAUUACUAUCAGGAAUGUAAAGAUGAAGAAAUUGAGACUCAGAGAGGUGAAAUCAUCUCCUCAAGGUCGUGUAGCUUGUGACUGUAGACUAGAGUUUGGAAAUGAACCAAAGUAUCUGUUCCAAAACCUUCUUCUGACUUUCUGACACCGAGCUCAGUGCUUGCAAUCAGUCUAUCAAUCAAUCAAUCAGUCUGUCACUCAAUCAACCUCUCAAUCAACCAAUGUUUAUUGAGAGCAUCCUAUCUGGGAGCUGCAUGUUAGGAGAUGAGGUUCAGCGAUGGAGAAACCCUAUACAGUGCCUGCUUUCAGGGAGGCUACAGUCUAGGAGGGAGGCUAGGCAUGAGAGAAGAAUUACCAAUGAGACAAGCAUUCCCAAAGAGGGAUGGGCAGGUGCUGUGAGGCUUACACUACAGGAUUACCCCGCACUCUGGGCUCAGAUAAGGGUUCACUGAGGAAGUGUUCACCAGGCUGAAGCUCUUAUUCAAGGAUGAACAGGGUUGAUUUAGGAGAUGAGGGAAGGGAAAAAGCAUUCCAAGUAGAUGUUACUAUGUAACAUCUGCUGGUAGGGAAGAACAGGGACAUCCUUAGGGAACUGAAAGACCUGUGGGUCUGGAGUGAAAUCAGCCUAGUGUGGAAGCGACUGAGAUGAGGCUGGACAGGGAGGCAGCAGCCAGUCAUGGAGGGUCUUGCAGACCAUCCAAAGGACUCAGAGCAUUUUCCUAAGGGCCGUUCAAAGCCAGUGGAGGGUUUGUGGCAGCGGGGUGAUGUGAUCAGUUUUCCAUCUGUUAUGUGGCUACAGGUCAGAGCAGAGGCAGGGAGACCAGUAAGGAGGCUGUUGUGGGAGUCCAGAUGGGAGGAGGAUGGUGGGCUGGCCUCAGGCGGUGGCAGUAAGGAGGGUGGGCGGGGGAUGGAUUCCAGAGGUAGAUGGUUGGUAUGACUUGGUCUUAAUGGUGUUUGGGAGGUAAGGAGGAGGAGGAGGUAAGGUAACACCCAGGCACUGGGUGCACCUAAUAGGAACUCAGAGAGUGUUUAUGGACCAGAAUGCGUCUAAUGGCACACAAUCCUUGAAUGCUGGGAGCCAAGCCCUGGAGGUGUGGUGUCAAUGUUCUGGGGGGCUGGCACUGUCUUGGAGUUUGCAGUAACUUCCCCCUUCUUCCAUGGUCCCUGCCUGAACUCUAUUCUGUUCAUCUUUGUUGUUGAAAUGCUGUCUGUCUAUUAUUUGCUUUUUAUAAAACCUGUAGUUUUCCUGCCAUCUUUAGAGAAAAAGCACUGCAGGUGAGCCUCAUCAAAACCACUGCGCAGAAAUCUAUCAUGAGAUAAUUAGAAAACUCAGGACACAUGUCUGAGAUGGAAGGCGCUCAUGAAUGAGGUUCUCCGGGGAAUGUGGGCAGAACUUGUUUCCCAGCUCUUUGCACCCAUCAGGACAGCUGAGAAAGGAGGCUGGUGCAAUAGUCGCCUGCUCCUCGCUUUCUGCACUUUGGUUGGUAUGAGGAAGGGACCAUGGCAGGCGAAGCUCCAAGACCUGGUUCUUAGACUAAUGAGAAGAAAUGAUAGAAAUGAACAUUCCAAAUCCUUUUUCAGAACUCUCGGGGAUUAAUAGUUCAUUCAUCAAGUAUAUCUUAGCAAUGCCUUGUACCAGGCUUCGUAAUAGAUGAUUUGGGAAUGACAGAGGUGAGGUAUGGCCCUUGCCUUCUAGUCACUGAGAGUCUGGACAGAUGUGUGUAGGAUGCGACACCUGCCUGGAUUGAGAGUUUCUGCAGAGCAGGGAUCAUUUCUGGUUCAUUCUGUAGCCCCAGAAGCUAGUAUGGGGACUGAGAGUAGGUGUUCAAUAAAUGCCUGUUGAAUGAAAGGAUGGAAGGAUGGUCGAAUGGAUGGAUAGAUAGAUAGAUGGCGUAUUGGUUCGAUGCAUGGAUGAAUGGAUGCUUGGAUGCUCUUUGGGUGCAAGAAAUCCUGAAUGAUAAAAUGUGUCUGUAGAGCACAUUUUGUCAUUCCAGUGACCAAGCUGUAACCCUUAUUUACUCUUAGUCUUGCUGAGUCUCUGUCAUCUCCAACCACUCAGUAUUCACAAAGAUUCUGCUUCAUUUGGCAUUUGAGUCACCAGAUGAGCUUGGCUCAGUUUCCUCUUAGGAUUGAGAAGGAUCUUCCACUUGUUUAUACACUUAAUGAAUAAACCGCCUAUACAUUUAGGAACAAAUAAGUCCACUGUGUUUAAACUGGGAGGAACAUCAGAGGUCAUGCAGUUCAACACCUUCUUCUUAGAAAUGGGGAACAAGUGAGUUGAGUCAGUGUAAGCUCAGUGGAAGACCAUUGGACUGGAAUCAGAAGAAGAUGGGCCUGAAUUUUGUCUCUGCUACUCACCUGGCAAGUUAUGUAAGCUCUUGAGAAUAAUUCCUUCCUCGUCCACCUUCAUCGGUUUGUUGUGGGGGUCAGAUGAAUGAGUGAGGGCUUGAGUAGAGACUUUGCACAGCCCAGUGGCAGUUCUUUCCUAAAAUCAUCGAGUUAGUGGCUGGACAGCAAACACUGAGGCUCAUCUUCCAUCAGGGUCUAGGAUCAUCCACUACAGCACCUGCUUCUUAGAAAUGACAUCAGCCUGCAGGCUUGUUCUGCAGUUUGGACAAAACCAAAAUAUGGGUGAUUUGUAAACCCACCCAAAUGACUGAAAUUAAAAAUAUAAAAAAAUGCCAGGUCUUGGCAAGCAUGUAGAGCAACCAAAAUGCUCACAGACUGCUGGGGGGAGUAGAAAUUGGUGCAAUCCCUUUUGAAAACUGUCAGUGUCACUAAACCUGAAUGUGUACAUAUAGCAUGACUGAGCUAUUCUGCUCCUAUAUGUGCACCCGAGAGAAAUGAAGGCAAAGUCAUGGGCUAGAAUGUUCAUGGCAAGGUUAUUCAUAAUGUCCCAAAACUAAGCAUUAUGCAGAUACCAAUUAAGAGUAGAAUGAAUAAAUUGUAGAAUAUUUAUCUAUUGGACUAUUAUGCACCAAUGAGAAUGAACAAACUGAAGCUACACACAAUAAUAUGGACGAAUCUUGCACACAUAGUGUUGAACAAAAGAAGCCAGACACAAGACUACCUAGGUGUGAUUCCAUUUAUAUAAAGUUCAAAAUAGGCAAAACCAAUCCCUGAUAUUGGGAAUUAGGGCAGUGUUCACCCUUGGGGCAAGGUAGUGGCUAGAAAGGAGCACAAGAGGGCUUCUAGGAGGAGGCCGAUAUCUUAUCUCUUUAUCUGGGUGCUGAUUACAUAGGUGUGUUUGGAUAUUGAAAAUUCAUCGAGCUGUUCACUUGUGUUUGUGCGUUUUUCUGUAUUAUGUUGUGUUUCAGUGAAAAGCUAAGCUAACAAGCACCACAAAACAAAAUUUGAGUGAUCUUCAUGGUGUGUGGUAGGGUGCUUGUGGAGCCUGCCCCCUAUCCCCUCUGCCAUAAUUAGACCCCUGAGGAUGCUCUGCCCCUGAAGGCAUGGCCAGCUGCUCUCCCUGUCCUCAGCCGUGGGAAGCCAGGCCUUGGCUUGGAUGCACGGCUGCUGGUGGAAGGGCUCGUCACCCGCUGGGACUCUGCCUGUUUCCUGCUCUCUACCUCUUCCCGCUCACCCGUCUCCUGCCCCAGGCCCUCCAGCCCUGUCUGGCUGUAUCCCAGCUGGAAACCAUGCUCUGGGUUCUCAGAGAUCAACUUCUGCCUCCUUUGUUCGCCUUAUGCCGUCCAGCUUCCCAUCACACACACAGCUGCUUCCAUGCCAGCCCGGCAUCCAUCAUGGAGGACCAGACCACUUGGAUGAGAGAUGAUGUAAGUCCAAGUUACACACCCACACACACACAUCCACGCAGGGGGACGGGCAGAGACUCCCAGAGCGAGAACUGAAGGGAAGCUCAGAGGUCGUGGAGCUCCGCAUAUCUCCCAAGCAAACCUCGCUUGCCUCCGAUGGGGUGCUCCUACGUGUUGCCUGGAUGACAGUUUAUAAUUUAAUUAUCAAUCUAUUUUGUUGUGUAUUAGGACAGAAUAUAGUCAGUGCAUUAAAUCCUUGAUUUCAUGUAUGUUAUUGCUUAGGAUCAUGUUAAAUUUUUAAAAUCUACUUGAUUUAAAGACAAACAUUAAGUAUUAGUAUAUGUGAUAUCAGGAUAUGGCAGAAAAUCAUGAGGUGGAAGUUUGGGAGACACUAAUCCAGCUCCCUCAGUUCACAAUGGGGAAACUGAGGCCUGAGAUGGGGGGAGGAACAGCAUAAUGAUCCUGACUCCAAACGUUGAUACCACAUGAAGUGCCUUAGGAGAGAGUUUUUCUUAAGAGAGAGAUUUGGCCCAGCAUGGGAGGUUGACAUUAUGGCCAUCAUCCCGUACCACAAAUGAGGGAGCGGAGUCCCUGAGGGGGCAAUGGUGAGAACAUAGGCUUCAAAGCCAGAGCCACCUGGAGUCACAUCCCAGCUCCCCAUUUUCUUCCUGUGUGAUGCCAUACAGGCCACAUAACCUCUCUGAGCUGCAGGUUUCUUAUCUGUAAUGAAAGACCUUAUACCCACAUCACAGGAUUGUUAUAAGGACUGAAAGAGAUGAUCAAGCCCCAGGCCCAUGGUUGGACAGUCUCUGUCCCUAGAGAGAGGAGGGGACUUGCCUAAGGUAGUGGACAGGGUUAGGGCCAGACCUGGAACACAGGGCUCUUCACUCCCAAUCCGUUCUCUUUCCUCUGAGGAGUCAUCUCCCCUCAUCCUGGUUCUGCAAUCCUUGCUCCAGGGGCACAGUGCCAGGUGGGAGAAGAGCAGCGACAUGCUUUACCCUGACCUUUGCUGGGCUGGCCUGACUUUUGAUGGCGAGGGCACCAGUGAUUUUAAGAGGCCUUCGUGAGUGAGCCUGUGGAACAGUGGGCUGGGUCUGGCCAGCCACAUGGGCUGCCAGCCAGAGAGGGAGGCCCCCACUGCCCUGGAGAGCAAUUAGGGGCCACUGCAACAGGAAGAAAUGCCCCUGUGAUGCCAACCCCAGCAGAGGGUGGCCAUCCGUGCGGGGUUCUGGGAUGGAUGGGCGCUGGAGAGCCCCAUUCCCAUCCAACAGGAAACCAUUCACAUGGCCUUUCUGGGACUAAGUGCAAAGGAGGGGCCUGCCUGGCAUUUCAUACAUGCCCGGGAACUGCAGGUGUGGAGACCAGCAGGGUCCCCACGGCAGCAAUUAUGCAGAAGAUUAAAUAGGAAAGAUCUGGCCUCGUAGGAAUUACCCAGAUAGUCCCAGUGUUUGCGAGCAUCUUCCCUUCUCACUCCCCUCUCUCUCUCUCUUCUUCUGCCUGUUCUUUUUCUCCUUCCCUCCCCUCUCCUGUCCUUCAUUGAUUCAUUUCUUCAAUAGGCAGAGCAGCACACCAGGGGCUUGGAGGCAGGGGACCUGUGUUUGAAUCCUGGUCUCCCCUUUUAAUAUCAGGUUGACCCGUUUGAAAGGGCUAUUGUUGUAAGUGGAAAAUGGUUGGAACCAGGGCAAGUUACUUGACCCUUCCGAGCCUCAGUUUCCCCAUCUGUAAUUUCCAUUAUUUCCAAAGGUUGUAAUGUUUACAUUAUAAUUUACGCAGGGUAUUUGGCUCAGUGCCUGACACAGAGUGAAUCCUCUUUUGUAUGUUUUUAAGGGGGGAACGUAGGCAAUUUCAUAUGGUUUAUUAUUUGUGCAGCCUCAGCGAAGUCGCCACCCCAAAUCUCUCUGAGCUUUUGUAUCCUUCACUGUAAAACAGAGACGGUGUCUGCCUCAGAGGGUCAGGUCGUUUAGAGUAGAUGGUCUGAUGUGUGUAAAGUCCUGGUGGUCAGCACCCAACCACUGGGGCCUAUUCUUUUCCAUCCUUCCGUUCAUUUGUUCUACAGCCAUUUCUCGGCUAACGACUGUGUGCCGCGCUCUGUGCGAGGUCCCAGGAACACAGAGGUGAAUGAGAUGUGACUCUUACCUUCGCGAAUUUACUGUCCAGUAGACUUGACAGGCAAGAAGCUUGUGGAUAUUUGAUGUGGUGGGGAAAUAAAUGAAGCUACUGAAUUGCUGGACUGAAUCUUUGGGUUUUGUCUUAAGAGGGAAGAGCAUUUAUUCAGCAUCUACUCUGUGCCAGGUGCAACGUGCACGUUGCCUUAUUUGGCUCUUGACACAAUCCCAUAAGGUAGGUGUUACAUGGGGAUUACGUCAGAGGUGGACGUUGCUUGCUAAUGACUGUCUAACUCCAGUGUUCAUUAUCUUUUUACUUUGCCUGACUACCCCCAGGGAGCAGAGGUUGGGGGGCAGAAGUGACGGGGACCCAAGAGGUAGGUGUCAGCUUGACCUGACUUGCCAUGGGUUUCCUUCCUCUGAGUUACUCCUGUGUCUGCCGAGCUGUCUGGGACCAGGGGAGACUUCUGACAGCUUUCUCCGUCUUGCUGGAGAUGGGCCAUUUGUGGUUCGGAAAUAACUGGGCACUUCCCUAGGGGCCGAAGCUUGAGCUGAGAAUCGUAAAAUAGCAUCAAGUCCAUUUAUAUCUACCUCCCCUCCCCAAAGAUGACAUGUUAAUGGAGGACCCAUAAAGCCACGGAGCCCCCAUUUCCUGUGAAAAGGGGGUGAUCCAAAAUGGAGUUGUAUGCUGCACGGUGACAAACUAAUGCUCUUAGAAUUUUAGCUGUUCAUUGUAUGAGCUGCUUUGGCAGGGACAUUAGACAUGCAGAAUUUUGAGCUCUGGCCUUAUUCAAUUUUUAAUUAAUUUUUGUGUAAUAAGCUAUAAGCACAUUAAUAUAAAUGAGAUACUUUCUGCAGUGUGCUAAUACACAGCUUUAAGGAGCCAUGGGUAUUGUUUUCCCCUUUAUUUGUGUUGAACAAAGACUACUGGUUCUCUAAGUAUUAUUUUCUGAUUCUUGGGAGGUGGGGCUGUAGGAGAGGAAUUAAAUUUUCCCAGCAGGCUUGGGCUGAAAUGUUGCCACAGACAUUUAUUUGAGAGUGAUGAGAAGAGCACUGUGUGUGGCACUCGUCAAAGAUUUGACUUCAGAAAUUAAAGAUUCUUCUGCACUCUAAGAAGUGGUCAAAGGUGGGGGGGGUCCAUAACUAAAUAAGCUUAGAAUUUGGGAUGGGAUUAUUCCAGUGCUUUUAUAAGAAGAUCUAAGCAAGAAUUUCAAAAUAAAAAUAUUUAAAGUAUUUAGGUUAAACUGGAGUAAUUUUGCUGUGUCCAGAUAUUAUGGGAUUUCAUUCUUUCAUCCAUCUGUUCAGUCCUUCAGUCAUCCUGCAGUGAUUUGAGCACCUACUAUGCACAAGGCAUUCUGCUAGGCAUUGUCAGGUACGCAAAUAUGGAAUUCAGCCUGUGUCUAGGAGACUACAGUUCAGUAUGGAAUAUUCCGACAUAACGCAAAAUGAUAAGCAUCAUCAUAGAGGUGCAAAUUCAUGUUAGAAUAGUUCAGUGAAGAGAUUAUUCAUAGAAGAGAGAUUAAGGAGAUGACUUUUGAACUGGACCUUUAAGGAUACACAGAAUUUAGGCACAUGCAGAAGAAAGAAAAAACUGUUCUUGGAGAAGGGAACAGCCAAUCCAUAUCCGAGAAGACUGGGGCUAGAUCACCAGAUCCAAGGAAAAUAACAACAUGCCUUAGAACGGACGUGCCUAUAAUGAUGCUCUUCCCUUCCUCAAGAAUGCCUUUUCCUUCUUCCAGCUGGAUAGGUCCUCUGUGCCCAGCUAGUCUCUCUUUCCUUCCAUCCAAGGUCAGCCUGUGCUAAUUCAACCGGCUUGUCUUACAAGUAAGGAAGUGGAGAGCCAAAGGAUUGGAAGGACUUGUAGCCAGUUGGUUACAGUCUUGACUAGAACUGGAUAUCCUGUGGUUUAGUCUUCUGUGCAUUUUGUGUGGUUCUGACCCAUUAUGUUACAGAGUAGUGGCCACGAAACAGGCCUCCAGCAAUGGGAAGUUUCAGUGCCACUUCCAUUAACUGCUAAACUUGGGAACAGGGAUGGUUCUGGAGAAUGGAGGCUCAUCCAGAAAACCCUUUUGGUUUCAACCCUUGUUAGUUCUGAGUUCUUUUUCAUAUUCUGGUAGAUAGAGUAUAAGACUUAUAUCAAAUCCUUUUCCUGGUGAUUGAGGAUAUUAAAGGACCCCAGGCCUGUAAUGCUGAAUAUCAGUUCUAAUGGCUCUUCAUUGUUGAGUCAAGCCCAAGAUACCUGCUAAAAUUUACUGUCCAAAGCCCCAAGGCGAGACGGUUUUCUUAUCUUUUGUCUUUUUGUUUGGAUGACAGAGGGAAAGAGGGACCGAGAUAGCUUUUGAGUUACUGAGGGCUCUGAUAUGGCAAGGUUUGAAAAACUGAAGUUGCUGUAUUUCAGAGAAAUGCGCUAUUUUGACAACUCCAGCUCAGCGAUUCUGAGCAACGGUGAAAGGAAACAUGAGUUUGGGGAGACUCUGGGAAUGUGGUUUUCUGCAAAAUCUGACAGCUUCCUGCCCACCCUCUCCGUUUCUCAGUGGUUUUAAUCAGUGUUCAGAGCAUCCCACAAAAGCAAUUUGCAUCACAGCUCUAGAAAUAGAGUUGUUUCUUCCCCAAAGAAGGACUCAGAUGGGUCGCAAGGGAGCUUUCUGGAAUGAAGAGGUGCGGCUGGCGGUCUCCAAAGGAGCUGAGCUUUCCCAGCCCGUUGAAUGGCUUUCUUCCCCAUCACUCUUCUCUGGGAAUUUUUGCCAUCACAACCCGAUACUCCAUGAAGGACCCAUGAAGAAAUAAAUCAGGGAUGCUCCUUGGUUACAGAAAAAAUAUUGGCCUUUCACUCUAAUCCCUGGUUUCCAAAGAUAUCCUCUUGCCAAGGAUAACAACGUCUACCCAGAAGUGGUUCCAUUAACGAGGAGGGACAGGUCAGCAAGAAUCCUACUGUCUCUCAUGGCGAACUUGCCAAGAGAGGACUCUGAUUUGGGGAACGGGGAGGGGGAAACCAAAUAGGUCGUAACCAGUAAGAACCUCUUCUCAGUCUCAGCACAAAGUCUUAGCGUUUUCUAUUCUCUAAUGAAUUGAUUGACUCUUCCCCCAACUGCUCUAUCAGCAGGAAAUUCGUGUUGCUCUCGAGGUCCUGUCUGACUCCCCACCUCCAUCACAUUGUCCGGGAACCUGAUGGUUUAUGCAGUUCAGAGUCUGUCAUGCUUUCUCUUCUCAUCAGAGGAAGCAGUGGCAUUCGAGGGGCUCACCACUGCUAUUUCCCUUACUCAGAGCAGCCACCUAAGACUGGUCUUGGCACAUCUUCCCUGGAGAAGAGGAUUAAAGAAAAGCACAGAUUAUACCCCUCACAUGGCACGCUGCGACAGUGUGACUGAGACAUCUCAGCAGCUCACCAGGACACCGUUAGCUUCCAGUUUCCUUUCACUCGUUCAACCAAAAUGACCCAUAGCAAAAUAAGCUGCUCCACCACCCAGACACAAGCCAUGGCUCCUUUGUUCCGCCCCUGCACAUAACUGUCAAAGAAGGUCAAGUCACACGGCUGCUCUGAGUCUGUUUCCUCCCCUACUGAAAGAGGACGGCAAUGCUGUGGGGAAGAAAUGCCAUAAUGCUCCUGGAGCUCUACGGGGCUCCUGGCGUGAAGCUGCAUGUGGCUCCUGGUGUGCGAGGAGCUUGCGAUGGGGCUAGACUUUCUCCUUCUCUCUGCUGCUCCUGCCCUUCUUUCUUUUAGGAAGAAAUAGAAGAGCACGUGCAGCUGGGAUACUGAGGAAUCCCUUUUAGUUUUAGUCAGAGCCUCUGCCUAAUUAUAGGAGAGCAGCAUGUUAGAUGUCAAAUGGGAUCCAGACAAAGUUCUUGUUUCCAUCUUUGGAAUCCAGGUACGAAAAUCCCAACGGAGUCUAGUCAUUCGGACGCAUGAUUAAAAGUCGAUGGUUUCUGGACUGUGGCACAAAACGGUUGUUGUUGCUGUUGAAUUUUCUGGAGGAGGAUUGCAAUGUCCUACAGCCCUGCCAACAGUGUGUAUGAUCAAGGUUUCGGAUAUCUGCUGUUCCCACGCAUGAAAAAUGGCAUCUCAAUCUAAUUUAACGUGCUUUUUUUUUUUUUAAACUAUGAGUGGUGCUGAACAUUUUUUCUAUAUUUAAAAGCCACUUGUAUUGUGUUAUCUGUGAACUGUCAGUUUAUAUCAUUCGCAUAUUUCUUAUUGGGUUGUUGAUCUUUUACUUAUUGAUUUCUGAAAGUCUUUAUAUAUUAGAGAGGUUAUAGCUGUGUAAUAUGAGUUGCAAUUUUUCCCUGUUUGUUGUUUGUCUUUUUGACUUUGUUUACGGUGUUUUUAAUUUUUAUGUAGUCAAAUUUAUCAAUCUUUCCUUUACAACUUCUGGAUCCUAGGUCCAAAUUAGAAAAGCCUUUUAUUAUCUAGAGGUUAUAAAAGAAUUCGCCAAUGAUUUCUUCUUCUAUUAUAAUAGUUUCCUUUUUUUAUAUUUAAAUUUUUGAGAUCUUCCAAGAUUUUAAUAAAACCCAGAGGUCAGAUUUUUUGUUAAAUAUUCCAAUUUUUAAGUUUGGCAACUAAUUCAAAUAACAUUCACACACAUUUUAUUGGCCUAACAAAACACACACAUGGACUAGAUUUGGUCCAUGGGCCUCUGAUUUACAAUCUCUGGUUUGAGACUAGACCAUUGUCCUGCUUGGAAAUGUCAAAUAAUUGGGCAACCAUAAGUGUGUUAUUUGUAAAACGCAUCUUCCUUCCCACAGUCUCUUUCCCAGCAUUUCCCAGUUUGUCUUGAAGCCUCUGUCCUCUUUCUACCAGUGCCUUUGGCCUAGAAGGGGUUGUGUAGUGGCCAGGCCUUCGGUGCUGAGCUCAGAUAUACUGAAAGUUUUUCCAGCUGCAAAUAGGGGCUGAUCCGAUUAGCCAUCCCUGGAAAUUGUCUCUGACACGUUCAAGCCCCUUACUGCCUUGGCUACGUUUAAUUGGUUUUACACCCAAAGAGGUGAGUGCUUGUCCCUGAUCUUACCUACAUGGACACUGAGUUCACAUCUGGAUUACCUGAUUUUAAAAAAACACAGCUCGCAUCCUUCUCUAAGUGCUUUGAGGUCACUGGGGGAGGGGUGAUGCUCCAUGUGAAGUUUCACACCCCAGCUGGCAGCUGAGCCUUGAGCUCUAUUCGCUUUGCUGUGCUCAGGGAAGUCCUGUGUCUUACAGGCAUCUUUCCUCUCUGCCUCUGACAGUCAUCUUCCUGUUGUAAAAAUUUAUAAGCAGACGAUUAGGGUGGAAAAGCAAUGCUGAUGGGCAUGACUGUCAGAUUACGAAACGAGCAGAGAUGUGCAAACUAAUUGUUGGCAAACUCUUCUCCAUGUGACUCUUUCUUCAUCUGUAUCAAGGAAGCUCUUGCCUGAGAACCUUGACUUGUGUGCAGUGUAGUAGGUACUUGGAGGCAAAGUAAGCUGAGAGAGGACUCUCUGCCAGUCUGCUUACAGAGCUGGGGAACUCAGAAUUGGAUGCCCAUAAAAGAGAAAGGUCUUUUGGGAGAUGGGCGCAGGGGAAAAUCCUGAGUGGAUCUCCAUCCUUCUCCAUCCGUUGCACAAGCCCAUGAGCCCCUCUGUGAAGCCUUUCUAGAAUCCCCCAGGCACACUCAGAAUCUUCUGCCUCCCUCGUGGGGUUGGAGUUCAACGAGUACAGAGACGGUGGUUUCCAGGUCCAUAUCCAGCUCCAUCUACAGUUCCUGGCACAGGAUUGGUACUUGGUGAAGGUUUGCUGAAUGAAUGAAAAUUUGUGCCAAUGCAUCCAUUUAUCUGGCGGCUCCUGGCGCUGCCAAGAGGGCCAGGCCUCUGGUCACUUCUCAAUCAAGCAGUCACCAGACCUUCACUGUUGAUUACGGGCGUGCCCCAGGGCUUAUAGAUAAAAGGCUGGGGUGGGGGUCAGAAGAUUUGGGUCCCAAUUUUAACUCUGCCAUUAAGCCACUGGGUGACCUCAGGCAGCUGGACCCCAGCCUCCCUGAACCUCAACUUCGUCGUAUGUAAUGUGAGUAGGCUGGACUGUGGCUGUCCACAGGCUCUUCAGCUCUGCUGUUCUAGAAGUCUGCUGGUUCCGAGUUUCUAGGGAGAGACCCCUACUCAGCGAUGCAGACAUUGGCUGGCACCCCCAAGAGCCAGACACUAUAUGUUGGCAUAUAAAGUGCUUUCAUUCUAAUUGUUGGCACACGUGCUUUCAUUUUAAUUCUCAUAAUACCUCUAGGAGGUGAGUAUUGUUGUCUCCAUUUAACAGACAAGCAGCCUAAGGCUCAGGAAGAUCAAAUUCUGUGACUACGCAACCCGUUUCUCCAGCGGCCUGACCUCAGGAGGGUUCCAUCAGAAAGGCACAUUGCCUUUCUCUCGCCAGUGCUGUCAAUCUCACUUCCCUGUCGCUUAGUGACACUCAUAGUCUCUAGUCCCUUCCAGCCACUAAAAAGAUGAAGCCUCAUCUUGAGUUAUUAGAACAUCUGGUCCAAUUGAACUCGAAAACUUUAAUUGGACUUUCAAUUGAAAACUUCAUCCCUUCCUUUAUCAGCUCCAACCUGGUCUGGAACUCAGGAAGCAACCGUGGGGAAGGAGGGGCACCCUCUGUCCUUUCGUUGUCCUUGCUCCACCUCUCACUCGCCUCCCUCCCUCUCUCUUCCAGUCUGGCUCCUCAGGGUUUUUCAGGGGAGGAGGGAUGGGGCAGAGGCCUCUUCCUGUAGCCGAUGCUCUUGGCACUUCUGGCCUGCCUAUCUGGUUACCUUUGUCAGGGCAGGUUCUCAAAGUGGGCUCUCUCACAGAGUGGCCUGUGUGUCCUCGGAGCCUAUCUGCACUGCCCCAUCCUGGACUGUGCCAGCAGGUGACCCCCCCCCCCCCCAGCUGACCCCUCUCCCCUUGCCCUGCCAUCACGGCAGCUUCAGCCCAUGGGCAUUUGACAUACUCUUUCAAACUCCUGGAGGCCCAUCAAGUUCCCGAGAACUUCCUCACUUCUGUCUGCCCCGUUAACGCCAGGGAAUUGUUUUUACAAAUUUCUGGAACUCAGCGCACAUCAGUUAGGGAGGUGAGAAGCUGGUCCCCCCUCCUGCAUGGAUCCCCAGUCUCUGCAUGGUUCUUCUGGGGCCCCUCAGUUGGCCAAGGAGGAAGAGGGUGGAAACCACCACUGCCCUUCUCCCCCGUCCCGUUCCUCCACGUGUGUCCUCAGGGAGCUCUGCUCAGAGAGCUCCGGCCUCUUACACAGCCUGAACGGGAGGGGGUUGCAGAACCAAAUUUGCCGUCUUUCAGUAGAUGCUGCUGGGAUGCUGUGUCAGGCAGAUCAUGGGCCACUUGUCACCCAUUAUCUUUAGCUUGAAGCUUUAGCCAAGAGUCGGACACAACAGAAAAGCCCCUUCUGUAGCCUGUUAAAUCUUUACAGUGCAUGGCUGCCUUAUUUUAGCUUUAUUGAAGGCAACAUAGAAAUGCAGGUCGAGGGGCAUCUCAUCUCCUGCCUGGAAACUGCCAACAGCCAGUCUCACCCGCUGUCCCUCGGCUCUGGUGGUCUGAUGGUGCCAGGGAUAAGCAGCUCGUCCCUUCAAGGCGUGCUGGACUGGGCCUGUUAAAGCCCAAAGAGGGACAUGGCACAGCGGGCUGUUGCUUCCGGGAGCAAGGAGGCCAGCAGUCAUGUUUCCAGUGCUUUGCCGAGUUUAAUGACUGCUGGAGCAGCAACAGCAUCCCCACCGGCUUCUAUUUGCCCCGGGAGGAGGCUCGGAGGAUUGUGCGAGCCCUGCAUCCUGAUGCACUGAAAAAUGAGACCAACCACUGAGCACGGAAGCCCGAGAGAGGUCUGCCCUCCACGGUUUGCAAAUUUCAUUUUUUGUUUCAGGAACCAUUGUUCCAAUAAACCCUUACCUGGAAUUCAGUUGUGUUAAACAAUUUUUCUGCCCAAAGUGGGGCUGGGGGUGGGUGCUGACUCCAACCUGCUUGUUCUGCUUCCUUUCUUCACGGUUCUCACAGGGCUCUGAGGAACCUGUGGCACUUACAGGCCGGAGACAAAAAGCUCGGCGUCAGAAGACAGAAUUCGGAUUAAGAGAACUUCCAGGGCUGGGACCUUGAGCAGAAUCUACCAAGAGGAAGCGUAAGAGGCAAAGAUUUACACACCUGGGGCAGGGUGGAGAGUGGCAGCGGCUUAGCAGCAGCUGGAGAAGCACAACUCUGGGAUUCUGCCACAACUGGAGGCUUAGGGUGGAACGUGGCUGUCAAAAGUGCUGAUGAGCUGGAUUCGUGAAUGUGGUUCAGGACAGGGCAAGCCAGAAUGGGCCAUCUUGCUAAAGACGCUUCCGGAGUUCCUUCCGUGCAAAUCGUCACUCCCGAACCCCAUGGCCCACCCUCUCAUCUUUGUCGAUGGGUCAGAGGAGGGUAUUUGAGCUAGUCUCUAGGUGGCCAACACUGAUAGGGCCACCUUCUGCUAGAUCUUUGCACGACUGGGUUGAUGGUGAUUAAGUGAAAAUAUCAAGUUCUCUCCCUGUGGAAGUUCUGAAUUUAAGUCAUUGAGAAUAUUAUGGGAAAAGACCAUGAACUUCGCCCUCACAGAGGGUGCAGGCCGGAGAGGCCAAGAGGCCUCGUGGACUGAAGAGGUGUUAGCGGGGAGUAAGCAGAUGCUGAGAGACGUGGAAGGCACGGCAAGGCAGUUGGCGGGCGGAAUCAGGACCCAGCAAGCGAGCCAGCGAGGUGUCGCUGCAGGGAGAGCUGCCUUCGUUCCUGAGGACCCCACAGUUUUCACAGUAGGUUCUGGGUGUAGUCCAUCCCAGGGUUUCUGUGAGGCCCAAGUUCCUGCUUCCUUGUCUUUGUUUUUGCCUUCCCCGUGAGGAGAACCGCUGCUCUCCUCUGAGAUGACUGUAUUUCAUCAGACGGGCCCAGCUCUCCCGGAACCGUAACGUCCUGAACACACUGGAUGUUGACCCCAUUCCUCCCCAUGUUGCUCACACUUGUGGCCAGCUCCUGGCACUUCAGUUUCCACAGGCCACUGAUGUUCUGAGGAAGGGUCCUAGAGAGUAUGCUGUAAGGAGAGGAGAGGACGUGGGACAGA